GGAGAGAUGCCGGAGUGGUUGAACGGGGCGGUCUCGAAAACCGUUGAUCGGUUUUGCCGAUCCGAGGGUUCGAAUCCCUCUCUCUCCGCAA
RNAcentral lists this transfer RNA (91 nucleotides) under hydrothermal vent metagenome. RNAcentral describes it as "tRNA-Ser-CGA". It matches the Rfam family "tRNA". Rfam says of the family: Transfer RNA (tRNA) molecules are approximately 80 nucleotides in length. Their secondary structure includes four short double-helical elements and three loops (D, anti-codon, and T loops). The record is from RNAcentral.